CCUACGGGUGGCUGCAGUGGGGAAUAUUGCACAAUGGGGGAAACCCUGAUGCAGCGACGCCGCGUGAGUGAAGAAGUCAUUCGUUAUGUAAAGCUCUAUCAGCAGGGAAGAAAAUGACGGUACCUGCGUACGAAGCGCCGGCUAACUACGUGCCAGCAGCCGCGGUAAUACGUAGGGGGCAAGCGUUAUCCGGAUUUACUGGGUGUAAAGGGAGCGUAGACGGCAGUUCAAGUCUGGAGUGAAAGGCGGGGGCUCAAACCCCGGACUGCUCUUGAAACUGUACGGCUGGAGUGCAGGAGAGGGAAGUGGAAUUCGUAGGGUAGCGGUGAAAUGCGUAGAUAGUAGGAGGAACACCAGUGGCGAAGGCGGCUUACUGGACUGUAACUGACGUUGAGGCUCGAAAGCGUGGGGAGCAAACAGGAUUAGAUACCCCUGUAGUC
Molecule: ribosomal RNA, 440 nt
Filed under: uncultured bacterium
Lineage: Bacteria
Description: partial 16S ribosomal RNA
Rfam family: Bacterial small subunit ribosomal RNA
Source: RNAcentral